GGGGAUGUAGCUUAAUCAGGUUAGAGCGUCGGCUUGUCAAGCCGAAGGUUACGAGUUCAAAUCUCGUCAUCCUCG
This 75-nucleotide transfer RNA is filed under the name Planctomycetota bacterium. RNAcentral's name for it is "Planctomycetes bacterium (aquatic metagenome) tRNA-Asp". It matches the Rfam family "tRNA". From Rfam's summary of the family: Transfer RNA (tRNA) molecules are approximately 80 nucleotides in length. Lineage: Bacteria; Pseudomonadati; Planctomycetota. The record is from RNAcentral.